This 296-nucleotide ribosomal RNA is filed under the name uncultured bacterium. Its description in RNAcentral is "partial 16S ribosomal RNA". It matches the Rfam family "Bacterial small subunit ribosomal RNA", at positions 334 to 622 of the family's 1533-position model. The record is from RNAcentral.
UGCACCUACGGGGGGCAGCAGUGGGGAAUAUUGCGCAAUGGGCGAAAGCCUGACGCAGCGACGCCGCGUGAGGGAUGAAGGUCUUCGGAUCGUAAACCUCUGUCAGCAGGGAAGAACGGUCACUGUGCUAAUCAGCAGUGAAUUGACGGUACCUGCAAAGGAAGCUCCGGCUAACUACGUGCCAGCAGCCGCGGUAAUACGUAGGGAGCGAGCGUUGUCCGGAAUUACUGGGUGUAAAGGGAGCGUAGGCGGGACUGCAAGUUGGGUGUCAAAUCUACCGGCUCAACCGGUAGCCG